GAUGAAGAACGCAGCGAAAUGCGAUAAGUAAUGUGAAUUGCAGAAUUCCGUGAAUCAUCGAAUCUUUGAACGCAUAUUGCGCCCUCUGGCAUUCCGGAGGGCAUGCCUGUCCGAGCGUCAUUACGCCCCUCAAGUCCCCUGUGGACUUGGUGUUGGGGAUCGGCGAGGCUGGUUUUCCAGCACAGCCGUCCCUUAAAUUAAUUGGCGGUCUCGCCGUGGCCCUCCUCUGCGCAGUAGUAAAACACUCGCAACAGGAGCCCGGCGCGGUCCACUGCCGUAAAACCCCCCAACUUUUUAUAGUUGACCUCGAAUCAGGUAGGACUACCCGCUGAACUUAAGCAUAUCAAUAAGCGGAGGA
RNAcentral lists this unclassified non-coding RNA (358 nucleotides) under soil metagenome. Its description in RNAcentral is "partial contains 5.8S ribosomal RNA, internal transcribed spacer 2, and large subunit ribosomal RNA". The stretch from base 1 to 120 matches the Rfam family "5.8S ribosomal RNA", at positions 35 to 154 of the family's 154-position model. The record is from RNAcentral.